GUCCUGUGUGCUAUACGAAAGCAGCUUGAGCGAGUCAGUUAGCGGUACCCUCCUCGGCCUCCGCAUCAGCUCCUGCCUCUGAGUUCCUACCCUAGCUGCUUCUGGCGGUGAGUUAUUAAAUGGAACUGUGAGAGGAAGAGACCCUCUCCAUCCCCACUUGCCCUUGGUCAUGGUGUUUCAUCAGUGAUGGCAGCCCCAACUAGGGCAGAAACUAGUGUCGGAAAAGUGGGGUACCGCUGGGACAGACCUGACCAUGCUGCUCUUUGGGGGACUGCUGUGGAAGGACUUUGGAACAUGAGUCUGGAGAAGUCAGUUCAGUGACCUGGCUGUUCUGUGUGAGCUUGGACAGUAAGGUGUUGAGAGGAAUCCAGAAGACGGGGAGGCCUGGCUUAUGGAGCUCCAGAGGAGAGUUUGAGAGUCACUUAAAGGCUCUCUCAGGGCUGUUUUCUGUUUUGAGUUAAGAUUCUGUGGUUUUGAUCAGCUGGGGCUGAGAAUGAGCUAUGAUUGCCCGGAGACUGACACCACUAAAAAAAAAAAAAAAAAACCCUUGUUUAGUGGUGCGAAUGGUGCUGGUGGGCUGGAGCUGAGAAACUAGUGGUGACUGAGACCAGCAUCACUGAGAUGGAAUCUUCUGGGCGGUGUUUCCCGAGAGUCAGGACACACAAAGAUGUGUGGCAGAGGCAGCCAAGGUUGCACGUCACGCUGGCAGCUGAACUUGGUAGUGUAAGAGUCACCCAGGUGGUCCUAGUUUUGAAGGCAUGGAGGGGUCAUGAAAAACAGCUGAAAGCUUGGCACGUGAGGGGCCAGGAGGGGCCGUUGAAGGUGCAGCUUCAGUAGCAGCUAAAAACCCAGGACUGGAGAGGCCAUGGCUUGGCACCAUGAAGAUAGCCCAAGAGAGGCCAUUGGUGAAAGUGCAGCCCAGUGGCCGCUGAGAUCCCAGCAUUUUGGAAAUGCCAGCACCAUUGGAGACCACUGAGAACAGCAGGAGUGGAGGAGACUCACCCUAACCCUGGGAGACAAACUUUGUGCUACAAGGGGCAGACCCAGCGAAGUGAGUGACUCAGGCCCUUUGGAGGAGCCCAGAAAACUCCAGUGAGGAAAAAAAAUCCAAGAAACAUUCUGGAUUCUCCCCAUGUCUUGUUUCACUCGGUUGAGCCAAGCAUCGUGUGGCUACCCUGUUUGGAGCACCCCGUAGGAUCAUCCUUCUCCUUCCGCUGCUGGAGUCCACUAACCCAGAGGCUGACUCCUCUCCCAUCUCGCUCGGGCUUCGUGGAUUUCAUAAAUACUAAAUAACUGUUGAAGCCAAUGAAGACAUAGGCAUGGAAGUAGAGGGUAUUAAAAACAUCCUCAAUGCCUGUUUGAUUUGAUCACGAACCCCCCCUCAAUCCCACACUUCUCCAGCUGGGCUUUCAGAGCUAACCCGUGCUUUCUUGGAGGCCCAUCGGGAUAGGUCACUCUCUGUGCGGUUUUCUGACGUGAGCGUUGCUCUCCACCCAUCGCGUUAGCUCUCCAGCCUGACUUUGUCCCUCUCCACCUUGUAUGCUGCCGUCUGGUUCCUUAUGUCAGACACCGAAGUGAGUGUUGUUCAGGAGAAGGCCAUGGCUGUCUCACACUGGCCUCGUCUUCAGUAAAACUGCUCACGCAAUACAACUUUGCAGAAUUAAAAUCUCACCCUUGAAAAUCUCUGGUGUGGACAGAAGUUUCAUACACAAUUAUCUACAGCAUUGAAGCACGUGGAUCCAGAUGUAGAACUCUUGGCUCCUUUUCCAACGCCAUGUUUGCCUGUCUUGCUACCACACCUCCCACCAUGCGGAUAAUGGACUAGACCUCUGAAACUGUUGGCCAGUCCCGAUUAAAAGCUUUCCUUUAACAUA
Long non-coding RNA from Mesocricetus auratus (golden hamster), 1874 nucleotides. RefSeq lists it as uncharacterized. NCBI's taxonomy places the organism in Eukaryota, Metazoa, Chordata, Mammalia, Rodentia, Cricetidae. The record is from RefSeq and is a predicted model, not a curated record. The transcript is spliced from 3 exons.